GAGGUGACUUCUGCCCAGUGCUCUGAUUGUCACUGCGAAGAGAUUCAGCCAAGCGCGGGUAAACGGCGGGAGUAACUAUGACUCUCUUAAGGUAGCCAAAUGCCUCGUCAACCAAUUAUUGACGCGCAUGAAUGGAUCAACGAGAUUCCUGCUGUCCCUAGUUUCUGUCUGGUGAACCAACAGCCAAGGGAACGGGCUUGGAUGUGUCAGCGGGGAAAGAAGACCCUGUUGAGUUUGACUCUAGUUUGAUGCUGUGCAGCGACAUGUGGGGUGUAGCAUAGGUGGGAGGCCAGCGCCAUACUGGGUGUGCGGUCUGAGAGAGAGAGAGAGAGAGACCCUGGUGCGAACCAGCAGUGAAAUACCACUACCUUCAGCGUCGUUUUACUCAUUGAGUGGCCUGGGAGCGGCGGCCAUUGGACAUCAGGAUGCCCACCACACACGUGUGACUGGGCCAUGCUGUGGCUUAUUCCCCGAUUCGUGAGCAACGUGUGGCCUCGGCUGCACAACCCUGGGAGAGAAUGCAAUCCAAUCAGAAGCCUCAAGACACUGAUCAGUUGGGGAGUUUGGCUGGGGCGGCACGCCUGUUACAAGACAACGCAGGCGUCCUGAAGCAAUGCUCAGAUGGAACAGAAAUCUACCAGAGAGGAGCAGGCCAAAGGUGCUGCUGAUGCUGUGACUUCCAGUACAAGUCCAAAACGUGCAAGUGUGGCCUUGCGAUCCUUUGGUUAAGUGCACGAGUUUGGGAUAUUGAAGCCAGAGGUGUCAGAAAAAUUACCACAGGGAUAACUGGCUUGUGGCUGCCAAGCGUUCAAAGCGACGUCGCUUUUUGAUCCUUCGAUGUCGGCUCUUCCUAGCUUCCCACCCGCA
This 867-nucleotide ribosomal RNA is filed under the name Euglenaria clavata. RNAcentral describes it as "partial large subunit ribosomal RNA". It matches the Rfam family "Eukaryotic large subunit ribosomal RNA", at positions 2188 to 2909 of the family's 3401-position model. Lineage: Eukaryota; Euglenozoa; Euglenophyceae; Euglenales; Euglenaceae. The record is from RNAcentral.